AUUGAACGCUGGCGGCAGGCCUAACACAUGCAAGUCGAACGGGUGGCGGACGGGUGAGUAAUGUCUGGGAAACUGCCUGAUGGAGGGAGAUCACUACUGGAAACGGUAGCUAAUACCGCAUACCAUCAGAUGGGCCCAGAUGGGAUUAGCUAGUUGGUGGGGUAACGGCUCACCAAGGCGACGAUCCCUAGCUGGUCUGAGAGGAUGACCAGCCACACUGGAACUGAGACACGGUCCAGACUCCUACGGGAGGCAGCAGUGGGGAAUAUUGCACAAUGGGCGAAAGCCUGAUGGAGCCAUGCCGCGUGUAUGAAGAAGGCCUUCGGGUUGUAAAGUACUUUCAGUGGGGAGGCGUUACCUGAAGAAGAAGCAACGGCUAACUCCGUGCCAGCAGCCGCGGUAAUAC
Molecule: ribosomal RNA, 406 nt
Filed under: uncultured bacterium
Lineage: Bacteria
Description: partial 16S ribosomal RNA
Rfam family: Bacterial small subunit ribosomal RNA
Source: RNAcentral